CGACGAGUUUGAUCCUGGCUCAGGAUGAACGCUAGCGGCAGGCUUAAUACAUGCAAGUCAAGGGGGUAGCAAUACAACCGGCGCACGGGUGAGUAACACGUACACAACAUACCAUAUACUGAGGUAUAGCUUCGGGAAACUGAAGGUAAUCCCUCAUAGUAUUGUGAAAGGGCAUCUUUUUACAAUUAAAGUUUCGACGGUAUAUGAUUGGUGUGCGUUUGAUUAGCUAGUUGGUAGGGUAACGGCCUACCAAGGCAACGAUCAAUAGCUGGCGUGAGAGCGCGACCAGCCACACUGGAACUGAGACACGGUCCAGACUCCUACGGGAGGCAGCAGUAGGGAAUAUUGGACAAUGGGCGAAAGCCUGAUCCAGCCAUGCCGCGUGAUAGAUGAAGGCCCUCUGGGUUGUAAAUAUCUUUUAUCUGGGAAGAAACACUUCUAUUCUUAGAAGCUUGACGGUACCAGAGGAAUAAGCACCGGCUAACUCCGUG
Molecule: ribosomal RNA, 491 nt
Filed under: uncultured bacterium
Lineage: Bacteria
Description: bacterial SSU rRNA
Rfam family: Bacterial small subunit ribosomal RNA
Source: RNAcentral